AAUUGACCUCGGAUCAGGUAGGGAUACCCGCUGAACUUAAGCAUAUCAU
RNAcentral lists this ribosomal RNA (49 nucleotides) under Biatora hypophaea. Its description in RNAcentral is "partial 28S ribosomal RNA". Lineage: Eukaryota; Fungi; Ascomycota; Lecanoromycetes; Lecanorales; Ramalinaceae. The record is from RNAcentral.